AUUGAACGCUGGCGGCAUGCUUUACACAUGCAAGUCGAACGGUAACAGGCCGCAAGGUGCUGACGAGUGGCGCACGGGUGAGUAAUGCAUCGGAACGUGCCCAGCCGUGGGGGAUAACUACUCGAAAGAGUAGCUAAUACCGCAUACGAUCUAUGGAUGAAAGCGGGGGACCGUAAGGCCUCGCGCGAUUGGAGCGGCCGAUGUCAGAUUAGGUAGUUGGUGGGGUAAAGGCUCACCAAGCCAACGUUCUGUAGCUGGUCUGAGAGGACGACCAGCCACACUGGGACUGAGACACGGCCCAGACUCCUACGGGAGGCAGCAGUGGGGAAUUUUGGACAAAGGGCGCAAGCCUGAUCCAGCAAUGCCGCGUGCAGGAAGAAGGCCUUCGGGUUGUAAACUGCUUUUGUACGGAACGAAACGGCUCUGGUUAAUACCCGGGGCUAAUGACGGUACCGUAAGAAUAAGCACCGGCUAACUACGUG
Molecule: ribosomal RNA, 482 nt
Filed under: uncultured bacterium
Lineage: Bacteria
Description: partial 16S ribosomal RNA
Rfam family: Bacterial small subunit ribosomal RNA
Source: RNAcentral